RNAcentral lists this transfer RNA (71 nucleotides) under Deltaproteobacteria bacterium. RNAcentral's name for it is "tRNA-Gln". It matches the Rfam family "tRNA". Rfam says of the family: Transfer RNA (tRNA) molecules are approximately 80 nucleotides in length. Their secondary structure includes four short double-helical elements and three loops (D, anti-codon, and T loops). The record is from RNAcentral. RNAcentral also lists the same sequence under 1 other name. Lineage: Bacteria; Pseudomonadati; Myxococcota; Myxococcia.
UGAGGCGUCGUCCAAUGGCAGGACAACGGACUUUGGAUCCGUCUAUGGAGGUUCGAAUCCUCCCGCCUCAG